AAGGGUAUGGCUGUUCGCCAUUUAAAGUGGUACGCGAGCUGGGUUCAGAACGUCGUGAGACAGUUCGGUCCCUAUCUGCCAUGGGCGUUGGAGAUUUGAGAGGGGCUGCUCCUAGUACGAGAGGACCGGAGUGGACGAACCUCUGGUGUUCCGGUUGUCACGCCAGUGGCAUUGCCGGGUAGCUAUGUUCGGAAGCGAUAACCGCUGAAAGCAUCUAAGCGGGAAGCGCGCCUCAAGAUGAGAUCUCCCGGGGCACAAGCCCCCUGAAGGAACCAUGUAGACUACGUGGUUGAUAGGUCAGGUGUGUAAGUACAGCAAUGUAUUGAGCUAACUGAUACUAAUGAUCCGUGCGGCUUGACCAUAUAACCUCA
RNAcentral lists this ribosomal RNA (371 nucleotides) under Salmonella enterica subsp. enterica serovar Typhimurium. Its description in RNAcentral is "partial 23S ribosomal RNA". It matches the Rfam family "Bacterial large subunit ribosomal RNA", at positions 2567 to 2925 of the family's 2925-position model. RNAcentral also lists the same sequence under 1 other name. The record is from RNAcentral. Lineage: Bacteria; Pseudomonadati; Pseudomonadota; Gammaproteobacteria; Enterobacterales; Enterobacteriaceae.